This 449-nucleotide ribosomal RNA is filed under the name uncultured bacterium. RNAcentral's name for it is "partial 16S ribosomal RNA". It matches the Rfam family "Bacterial small subunit ribosomal RNA", at positions 28 to 523 of the family's 1533-position model. The record is from RNAcentral.
GACGAACGCUGGCGGCGUGCUUAACACAUGCAAGUCGGACGCAUCCUUCGGGGUGAGUGGCAGACGGGUGAGUAACGCGUGGGAACGUGCCCUUCAGUUCGGGAUAACCCAGGGAAACUUGGGCUAAUACCGGAUACGUGCGAGAGCAGAAAGAUUUAUCGCUGAAGGAUCGGCCCGCGUCUGAUUAGCUAGUUGGUGGGGUAAUGGCCCACCAAGGCGACGAUCAGUAGCUGGUCUGAGAGGAUGAUCAGCCACAUUGGGACUGAGACCCGGCCCAAACUCCUACGGGAGGCAGCAGUGGGGAAUAUUGGACAAUGGGCGCAAGCCUGAUCCAGCCAUGCCGCGUGAGUGAUGAAGGCCUUAGGGUUGUAAAGCUCUUUCGUCCGGGACGAUAAUGACGGUACCGGAAGAAGAAGCCCCGGCUAUCUUCGUGCCAGCAGCCGCCGUAA